UUGAAACAUUCCCGGAACACAAUUGCAGCAAUGCAUCUUCUUCUUCGUGAAGCAGAACCCAACCAAAAUGUAGCCCAUCGUGAUCCAGAAGAUCGUGUUUUCCUUCGUCCUUCACUCAAAAAUCGGGCGGACGCCAUUCUCUAUCCGUUGAGAAGAGUACGAUUUACAUCUCCUCAACCUUAUCUCAUAGAGGGAAUUCGAAUUUUGAAUUUCGAAUUCACCCCUUUGCUUUACUCGAUUCCCCCACCCCCAUUCGGCCUCAUCUUCUCAUCUAUAUAAACCCCCUCAUCCUCAUUGUUAAGGGUUGAGAAUUUUUUUUUUGGCAAGAAACAAAGUGGAAGUAUAGGAACAUUUGGUAGAAAAAAUGGAAAAACAAAAGAUAAGUUUGGGGAAAAAAUAAAAGAAAGCUAGCUUACAUUGGAAACAAAAAAUAUACCGUAAGAUAACAAGGUGCGUAAAGUCAUAUACAAAAUAUAUAGGGAUAGACUCUGAACGAUCGGAGUUUGGAGUUUAGUUUUGAGUUUGAUUUCUCUUUCAGUGCUUAGAGUUCGUCGGAUUCUCAGUUGCGGUGGUGGUGGUGGUAUAGCUCCCUUCAACUCGUUCUCAUCUCAUUUUGCUUCCCGGAAAAGUUUCCUUGAGUCCACGAGACUCUUCCCUUGCAGUUGGAGUUGGAUUGAAACCCAAAACCGCCAUCGAGUCAAUCUUGAUCAAAUACAUGGCAGAUGGAAGCUGAAAUAUAGGAAAUGGAGUUGAUAUACAAGUUUAUAUACACUGAUAUACACUUUUUGAAUACCCUGUGAAGUAGCCGAUAUACACCCCUAUACAUUUACUGUAUACAAAUGAAGCAGAAUCAAAAAUGGGCUGAAAAGGGACCCGAAUGGUGCAGCCCUCUUAUUUUAGUACUGGAUCAAAUCAGCUGAGUUGAUCUACCAUGGAAGAAAAGGAAAAUCUUCCUCCCCAAGUAAAUCAGUUUGCUGAUGAAUCCCUUGAUUUUUUGUAAAAACAAGUAGGACCCCUUUUCUCUUUCUUUUUAGGGGUCUACCAAGGAGUUCCAUUAGUGACUCGUAGAUUGGCUAAGGCCAUUGUCACCUUGAUACUAUUUAAAUAGCUCAUUUCCAAUUCAGGUAUGUUUCAAAAUGAAGGUUUAGUUUAAUCCUUUUGUUAGCUAGGGCUUCAUAUUGUAAUAGGGCUGAUUGAUCGGAUCUUCAACAUGAUCUAUUGGUUUUACUAGUUAGACACAUAGAUCUGAUUGAAGAUUAUCUCAAUUUCAGUCCUGUUUGCAAAUUGUGGCCCUUUGUCAUCACUAGGGAAAUCUUAGACAAUAACUUCCCUAGGGAUACAUGGCUACCAUGAGGAUGACUGGAUUCCACAAGCGAGUGGAAGAAGAUGAGGAUGAAGAGAAGAUGUGCAUAUAUUGCACAAAACUUUUCUAGUUUUCCUGAUCGUUUUAGCUAGUUGCAAAUACACCAAUCAGAGAUUUAGUAGACCAAGCUUUUCUUUUGAGGUUCUAAUGCUUCUUUUUCGGGAUCCAAGGACUUGGUGCAAUUGGCUGAAGAUACGACAAAUAAUAAGGCUGAAUGGUCGGUCUUGUUCUGCCUCUUCUAUAUCAAUAUUUCACUAUAAUGACCAAAUGUUCUGCAGAGCAAAUUGUUUCUACUAUAUUAUUUGAUAUGGUUUUUUUUGUAAAAAUAUUUCAUUAUAUUAGUCAAACGUUCUUUUG
Solanum pennellii is the source of this 1720-nucleotide long non-coding RNA. RefSeq lists it as uncharacterized. The transcript is spliced from 3 exons. Lineage: Eukaryota; Viridiplantae; Streptophyta; Magnoliopsida; Solanales; Solanaceae. The record is from RefSeq and is a predicted model, not a curated record.